Molecule: ribosomal RNA, 417 nt
Filed under: Triticum aestivum (bread wheat)
Lineage: Eukaryota; Viridiplantae; Streptophyta; Magnoliopsida; Poales; Poaceae
Description: partial small subunit ribosomal RNA
Source: RNAcentral
AUGAUCUUAAUUGGGAAAACUGGUUCUGGGAAAAGCACACAAUUGGUUCAGUAUCUUGCUAACUCAGGUCUUGCUGCCAAGGGUUGCCACCUGGGAAGUAUAGUGCUGCAAAUACUCCGUGAUACUUCUGUUUGUAAGGUACCUUAUUCUGCUACACACCAGUGGGAUCCUGGACUUUCUUCUGAAAUAAUUCAUGUGCAUUCACUGGGUACUUUGCAACUCCUUGGACAUGAUUUGGUGCAGUACAUUGAGCUUGGAAGUGCAUUUAGUCUCAGCAUUGCAACGGGUAUGCAGCUAUUGCAGUUAUUGUUGAGAGCGAUGCUACUUGGUGUCAUUCACUCCAAGUUGUGGUUAACUGAUGGAUGGUCAGAGACAAAUAGUGCUCACAAUUUUCCUUGCCUUCAGUCCAGGGAAUGA